This 996-nucleotide ribosomal RNA is filed under the name Triticum aestivum (bread wheat). Its description in RNAcentral is "partial small subunit ribosomal RNA". The record is from RNAcentral. Lineage: Eukaryota; Viridiplantae; Streptophyta; Magnoliopsida; Poales; Poaceae.
AUGGGGAAGAAGCCGUGCAGUGCUGGCCCUUCCUCGGCAUCCAGGCCCAUGAACCAGGCCAUGUCGCUCCGCGAGGAGACCUCCGGGAAGACACAAGCCAACACGCCCUCCCUGCUGAGGGUCCAGCACCUGCAGCGGCUGGGGGCGUGGGCGACCGGUGAGGCGGGAGUUGGCUCGAUCGGAGCACUGCUGGGCCGCCGCUUCGCCAUGGACGUCGAGGUGGCCGGGAUCCCCAUAGAUGCUUCCACCUUCCUUUGCCAGAAAUGUGAAUCAAUCUUACAUCCAGGCUUCAACUGCACAAUCCGCAUAAAGAACAACAAAAAGAAAGCAAAGCGGCGCAAGAAGUCAAAUCCUGGCCAAAACAGUGUUGUCUAUGCAUGCCAUUUCUGUGGAGACCAAAACCUGAUACGGGGUAGUGGAAAGGGUAUCGUGAAGGGACUGUUAUCAUCAAGAAAGCCUGUUAGCACAAUGUUGAAAGCAGAACAUAUGAACGUGCCAACAGUAACUACUAAAAAGGGGAUCGGGCAUUCUGUGACAGCAGCCUCGCAACUGGAAUCAUCCAGUCCUGAAAAUUAUAAAAUGGAGAAAGGGGCAGUUUUCUCAAUGGUGGAUCAUGGUCAGUUAGCGGCUGCACACAAAGACAUCCUGCAGCAAAUCGAAGUAGAAAGCGCAAAUGAUAAAUGUGUGAAUGGAAUUCAGCCUGCGGCUUCUAAAAAUUCUACUACAUGUGAACAUGAUGUCACUUCUCAAGCAGAAUUUCUAGCUGGGUCAAACUUUGCUACUCCUCAGAAGAACAAACUGGCGGAAGUAGCUUCAGCAGAAGCCAAGUCAGCUUCGAAUACCAGAUCUGCACGAGGUGAUUCUACUCAGCCAGCUGGCAGUUCAAGGAAGCGGGCAAGAAAAGGGUGGACUACGCUGAAGCAGAUUGCCGAGAAGGACGAGCUUGAGAGAAAAGAGAAGAUGGAUAACUUUGUAAUCCCGUUCUUCAUGCAGUAG